CGGAGAGCCGGUUUUUUGGUAUUUAUUGAACACCUAUGAUGUACCAGGCUGUGUGUUCCUGCUCCUGCUGGCCUCAGAGUGAAGCUCAGUUGCCUCCACACUCUUCAGGCAGAUGGAGGGACGGUCCUGCGUGUCAAAAAGACCCCCUUUGGCUGUUGGGAAAGAGCCCGGAUGUGCGCUGAAUACAACCCCCGAUGUUGUUAUUCAGCAGGAAGAAAGACCAGAAAGAAAAGCAAAGGGAGAAGAUAUUGUUUGGGCAGAAGAAUAUUUCUGGAGAAACCACACAGCUUUCCUGUCUGCCCUCAACACAGUCUGUGUCCUCUUGUCUCUGUUGGGCCUGUGAUGCCACACAAUGAUCUUCUUGCUCUGCUCUGGUUGUCAGCUCCUUCCCAUCCUCACUGUUGUAGUAAAGUCACCAAUGAUGUAUUAAAAAUGCCAGCCCAAAUGCACUUGCCUGGUUUGACAGCAUAAAGGGGGCUGCAGAUCUGGGGGAAGG
Molecule: long non-coding RNA, 496 nt
Filed under: Canis lupus familiaris (dog)
Lineage: Eukaryota; Metazoa; Chordata; Mammalia; Carnivora; Canidae
Description: lncRNA (ENSCAFG00845015491.1)
Source: RNAcentral